RNAcentral lists this ribosomal RNA (226 nucleotides) under uncultured bacterium. RNAcentral's name for it is "partial 16S ribosomal RNA". It matches the Rfam family "Bacterial small subunit ribosomal RNA", at positions 109 to 334 of the family's 1533-position model. The record is from RNAcentral.
AGUAACGCGUGGUCAACCUACCGUUGAGUGGGGGAUAACUAGCCGAAAGGUUAGCUAAUACCGCAUACGUCUCCGAGAGGCAUCUCUUGGCGAUAAAAGGAGCAAUCCGCUCGAUGACGGGACCGCGUCCCAUUAGCUAGAUGGUGGGGUAACGGCCUACCAUGGCACCGAUGGGUAGCUGGUUUGAGAGAGCGACCAGCCACACUGGGACUGAGAAACGGCCCAG